UGGGGGGGCCGGGGGGGGGUGGCACCCGAUGAUCCAGGAUAACCUGCAGCCCAGCAUCCUAAACUGAGCCCCUGCCGACCUGCCCCGUAUGACGCUAAGUGCACACCUUCCAGGGGUGGGACGGAGGCCUUUGGGGGCUGCCAUUCAGCUGCCCCCACCCCGAGAUGACUCCUACGCUGUCUUAAUGCUGGUUUUGAUUUUUUAAUAUUGUUUCAGCCUCUCACAGUCUCUGGGCCUCAGUUUCCCUGGUUGUAAAAUGAACAUUUGCCCCAGCACGUGGGCCCAGGGCCUCCCCAAGCCAACAGUGUGAGGGGCCAGCGCCCAGGGCUUGGGUGCCAGCCCAGCAGGGGACCCCACCUCCUGUCCACCCCGGAUUCUGCGCUGUGUUCAGAUGGCUGCUGUUUUUGUGAAAUCCGAGUUGCGCAUGCAUGCGGCUGAGAGGUACAGAGGCCCACCUGCCUACCCUCAGCCCGUGAGCACCAGCGCUGCCACAUAGCACAGGACUCGUGGGUGGCUCCUCGGAAAGCCUCGGUGUCUGUACCCCUGCAGCAGCAAGUGGGGGCACCUGCCGGAACCAUGGCCGCUCCCUGCUCUGGGCUGCAGCCUGCCCGCCUCCUGUGGCCGUGGGAAGCCUUCCUUCCAGGGCAUUGCUCUGGCAGGCAAGGCAUUUGCACCCCAAGACCACAAAUACCUCUGUUUGGUUUGUUAGGGACACAGCACAGGCCAGGCCCGUGGCCAGGGUGGUGGAAUGGCCACUGUGCCCCCUUAUGCCUUACCCCACACACACCUUGGUGGGACAUGGGCUCUGGGGUCUUUCCAGGCCCACAGACCAAGGCCCGAGGACAAAUAAGCCUCGCCCUCUGCAUGCAUCGGAGCAGGUCCGGUCCCUGGGCUGGCCUCUCUGCUCCUGCCUUCCCUCUACAAACACUUCAUAAGACACCCCCCUCACCACCCCUCCCAGCUGCCACGGCCUGCCUCCCCCUUCUUCCCCAGUAGGGCAGAGGUCAGACAGCAGCACUUGCUCCUCCACAGGGGAUGGAAGCAAACUUUCCCACACGAAGGCUGAGCUGAAACCCAAAACCCAAGUGGGACCAGCUCUGCCAGAAGGGGAUGGCAGGGGAGCAGCAGGGCAGGGAGCAGCAGCAUGGCUGGGGAUAUGGGACUUGGCAGUGGGUGCAGCUGAUAGAGCAGCCACGUGGGCCCAGAGCACCGGGAUUUGGGGAUCAGAUGUGGGGCCCCAGCCAUGUGCUGGCUCAGUGGCAGCGCGCAGCAUGAGGAGAGGUGGGAGGCACAUGGUAACCAGGAAGAGGGGCCACCACCCCGUGACACCUGCUGCCCGGGGCAGUCCUUGCACCCACUGGAGGGUGAGCCGGCGGGGGCUGGCAGCACAUGGGGAGGCGGGCUGCGUGCACCGGCGCUGACAGGUGAGCAAAGCCCGGGUCAUCCCGGAAAGGGGUGGGGACCACGCUCGGCAGAGCGACCAAGGUCAGCAUGGCUGCUCCUCUGGGCCUGUGGGCAGCUGCCCUCAUCACCCUCGCGAUGCUGGCCAGGCCCCCAGGCAGGGAAGGUGCCUCCUCUAGUGGUUCAGGGAAUUGGGAACCAAACCAGACGUUGGCAUCUGCUCUGCGGGGGCAGGGAGAGGUGCAGGUGUCCCGGGCUCACCCAGGGCGGCAGCUGAGGUUGGUGUCGCGCAGCUUAUCCUGAGUCUGCCCCUGGUUCGGACCCGCGGAGCCUCCCCUGCCUCAGGCACGGCCCCCGGUGCUGUGACCUGCGUGAGGCUGCCUCACCCAUUGAAGGGAGCGAGCCUGCUACCCACACCCGGUGAGUGGAGGCCCCGGGCGCUGUGGACCAGCCACCAGGCUAGGACCCCCCAGCACAGAACGGUCAGCCUCCAGGACUCUGGGUGCACCGUGGCCAGGGGCCCCAUGAACGGAUGCGGAGGUUUCACAGCAGAGACCCUGGAGCCCUGCCUCAGCUCUCUGCCUGCCCACGGACACGUCCCCUGCCCGAGCUUCUCAGCCCCUGGCCGGCGACGUCCUCGGUCAGGACUGGGCAACACACUGGCUGUGGCUUCCGAAGCACCUUACGUCCGCCAGGUAAUUUAAGUUAUGGUUUCUUUAGCAAAACCCUCAGUCCUAUGGUGCAGUCUGCUGUGUGCCGACCAUUCUGGAAGGUGGAGAUGUGGGGCCGGCUGUAGGAAGGCCCCUUUACAGUGCAGGUGGAGGUGGGGGAGAGCUCGGCCCCAGGCGCCCCUUUCUGCGUCCCUGGGGCCACUUUCCGGAACAUUCCAUUGGAGAGCCAAGGCCUGUGGGAGAUCACGGCUAUACCCGCCUGAGGGACAGGACACCCAGGGAGGUCGGAUUUCGGGCAAACAGUGAGCUCCACCCAUUAUCCCGGGUGUGCCUGGGACCCAGGGCACCACUUACGGGGCAGCCAAAGCCAGGAGGGCGCGGUAAAGACUGGGUCUUGGUCCCAAGCAUGUCCAGGGGGGCAGCAGCCAGGACAGCCGAUCCCUGGGGUGGCCUCCAAGUCCUCCUUGGGGUUGGGCCAGAGCCUGGAAGGCACAAAGACCGCCCCAAAUAGGAGACCCUGGUCUGUCCGGCCUGGCCCGGCAGUGGGUGGCAGACAUAGAGCAGACCUCAUAAGGACCUUGUAAAGACGAGCCUGGAGGGCAGAGGUGGAAGGUCGGCAUGGGGUCCUCUGUCUCCCUAGAGGGCGCGGGGUGGCUCUUCCGGCUGGACCAUGGGGGCAUGCCCGGAGCCUGGGCAGGCUAGAGAGAAGGGAAGAAGGUAAACACAGCUGCGGAGGACAAGGGCCACCUGGAGGGAUGGCAGGCCCCUGAGUCACGCCCUGAUGACACGGGGGCCGCCAGCUGGGCCAGAGUGCUGUCCCUGCAUCCAGAGCCCCCGAGGAGGAGAGGAGGCCUCACAAACUCCACUGGCGCCUGCACCCCCCGAGUGCAGCUCCCCAAGACUCCCAGGGCCAGUCAGCGCCAUCCACCCUGUGUUCUUGCUUGCUCCUGUUGUGCCCAAGAUCGUGAAUCCGAGAAACCACCAAGGAGCCGACACCGAUGCAAACACACGAGGGUUUAUUUACAAGCUCGAGCUUGGGUCCAAGUGUACCCGACACAGCUGAGCAGGGGCUUGGACCCCGAGGGUCAUGGGAAACAUUUGAGGCUUUCUGUUUUGAAGAUGCGGCACUGAACACCUGGCUCCCUGUGGAUGGUUCCCUUAGGUCUCCCACGGUCAUGCCAGCAUCUCUCAGACGCCUGACUCCGCAUCGUGGAAAAUCUAAAAAGUUUGGUCUAAUAAUGAACAGUGUGUUACUGGCACAUCAGAGGACCUGCGGCGGACACUCCAACCGGGGGCGGUCACAGGGUAGGCUCUGGCCACCUGGGAAUGGUCUCCCAGCACGGGACCCUCCCUCCUGCACCUCAGGACCUGGAGGCCAGGGGUUCCUGGGGGGCGGGGGUCCCCCCUCGGGGUCGGAGGCAGGCUAGCCAGGGCUGCUGUGGGCAGGCAUGACUCACAGUGGCAGCACCCAGGCCCCAUCAGGCAUAUCAUGACGACAGCGGCUCCCGGGGAGGGUGCCCAUGUCACUCCCUCUCCCACACCCACACCCAGUUCCCCAACUCAUCCCCGCCAUGCCUGCCAUUUCCACUCCAGCCUGUGCGUCGGCACCAGGGGUGUCCCCAGCCAGCCCAUCCUUAUGCUGAGCUUAGGCUCUAAUUGUCCUAAGGGAAUCACAGUCCUUUUUCCUGUCUUACCGGUUUCUCAAAUGAUGAUUCUUGGGAUUCGGAGAAACAUCUGUAUUUCCCCAGAACCGGGAAGGAAUUGCAGGCAGCGCCACUGGUGGGCCAGCCCCAGAGGGCGGCGUGGGCAGCACACCACAGGCCUCACCGCACUCACCGCGGGAAUGGCCGUUCACGGAGACGGUGCCAAGGCAGAUCAGCCCCCCACCCCAGUCCCGGUCCCACCUUCCCAGGAUCUUAAAGGUCCUCUCCGCGGGCUCCAUGGAGCCAGUGGACCCUAAGGUCGACUCCACAGGGAGAAAUGAAGGGUUCUGUGUUGAUUUAUUUUUCAUUAAAAAAUAAAGGAGGGGCAGCCCCGGUGGCUCAGCGGUUUAGUGCCACCUUUGGCUUGGGGUGUGAUCCUGGGGACCCAGGAUCGAGUCCCACAUCGAGCUCCCU
RNA transcript from Canis lupus familiaris (dog), 4189 nucleotides. RefSeq lists it as uncharacterized. Lineage: Eukaryota; Metazoa; Chordata; Mammalia; Carnivora; Canidae. The transcript is spliced from 3 exons. The record is from RefSeq and is a predicted model, not a curated record.